Molecule: non-coding RNA, 808 nt
Filed under: Acyrthosiphon pisum (pea aphid)
Lineage: Eukaryota; Metazoa; Arthropoda; Insecta; Hemiptera; Aphididae
Description: Eukaryotic small subunit ribosomal RNA
Rfam family: Eukaryotic small subunit ribosomal RNA
Source: Rfam by way of RNAcentral
UGCUUGUCUCAAGAUUAAGCCAUGCAUGUCUCAGUGCAAGCCGCAUUAAGGUGAAACCGCGAAAGGCUCAUUAAAUCAGUUGUGGUUCCUUAGAUCGUACCCAAGUUACUUGGAUAACUGUGGUAAUUCUAGAGCUAAUACAUGCCGACAGAGUUCCGACCGUCGCGGCGCCCUCGGGCGUCGCUCGCGGGAGGAACGCUUUUAUUAGAUCAAAACCGGCCCGUCGCGGCGCGCUUCGUGCGCGUCCCGAUCGCGGCCCGCGCAAAGACCUGGUGACUCUGAAUAACUUCGAGCUGAUCGCACGGUCUCCGUACCGGCGACGCAUCUUUCAAAUGUCUGCCUUAUCAACUGUCGAUGGUAGGUUCCAUGCCUACCAUGGUGGUAACGGGUAACGGGGAAUCAGGGUUCGAUUCCGGAGAGGGAGCCUGAGAAACGGCUACCACAUCCAAGGAAGGCAGCAGGCGCGCAAAUUACCCACUCCCGGAACGGGGAGGUAGUGACGAAAAAUAACGAUACGGGACUCAUCCGAGGCCCCGUAAUCGGAAUGAGAACACUUUAAAACCUUUAAACGAGGAUCAAUUGGAGGGCAAGUCUGGUGCCAGCAGCCGCGGUAAUUCCAGCUCCAAUAGCGUAUAUUAAAGUUGUUGCGGUUAAAAAGCUCGUAGUCGGAUCUGUGUCUGGACGGUGCCGGACCACCCUGGCGGUCCGUCGUGUCGCGGCCGGGCCGUGUCGCGGGACCACGUGUCCCGUCGGCGCGGUCGCCGUCGCGCUCGUCAGCCGUCUCGGGGUGUUAGUUACCGGCACGUCG